GCAUUGGUGGUUCAGUGGUAGAAUUCUUGUCUUCCGUGUGGAAGACCCAGGUUAGAUGCCUGGCCAAUGCG
This 71-nucleotide transfer RNA is filed under the name Loxodonta africana (African savanna elephant). It matches the Rfam family "tRNA". Rfam says of the family: Transfer RNA (tRNA) molecules are approximately 80 nucleotides in length. Their secondary structure includes four short double-helical elements and three loops (D, anti-codon, and T loops). The record is from Rfam by way of RNAcentral. Lineage: Eukaryota; Metazoa; Chordata; Mammalia; Proboscidea; Elephantidae.